This 440-nucleotide ribosomal RNA is filed under the name uncultured bacterium. RNAcentral's name for it is "partial 16S ribosomal RNA". It matches the Rfam family "Bacterial small subunit ribosomal RNA", at positions 338 to 795 of the family's 1533-position model. The record is from RNAcentral.
CCUACGGGCGGCAGCAGUGAGGAAUAUUGGUCAAUGGCCGGAAGGCUGAACCAGCCAAGCCGCGUGGGUGAAGAAGCGCCUCGGCGCGUAAAGCCCUGUCAGCAGGGAAGAAAAUGACGGUACCUGAAGAAGAAGCCCCGGCUAACUACGUGCCAGCAGCCGCGGUAAUACGUAGGGGGCAAGCGUUAUCCGGAUUUACUGGGUGUAAAGGGGGCGCAGACGGCGAUGCAAGCCAGGAGUGAAAGCCCGGGGCCCAACCCCGGGACUGCUCUUGGAACUGCGUGGCUAGAGUGCAGGAGGGGCAGGCGGAAUUCCUGGUGUAGCGGUGAAAUGCGUAGAUAUCAGGAGGAACACCGGUGGCGAAGGCGGCCUGCUGGACUGCAACUGACGUUGAGGCCCGAAAGCGUGGGGAGUAAACAGGAUUAGAUACCCUAGUAGUC